Molecule: long non-coding RNA, 1328 nt
Filed under: Equus asinus (donkey)
Lineage: Eukaryota; Metazoa; Chordata; Mammalia; Perissodactyla; Equidae
Description: lncRNA (ENSEASG00005026070.1)
Source: RNAcentral
GCUGGAGAGCGGCGGACGCCCACCCCCGCGCCGCCUCACCCCAGGGACCCGCCCGGCCGCCCUCCGCGCGCCGCCCGCGCCCACGACUCGCCACCGCCCCCCUCGGGCGGCGGCCGGAGCAGCAGCGAGCGGAGAACCAGCUUCGGGGUCCAGGCCAGCGACCAUGCGGCUGGAGGGAGGAUGGGGCCGCGGCGAGCGCCUGGCUGUGCUGUCAGGUUUACGAAGAGGCUGGAGCCGAAGGAAAAUUAGGUAGACCCUUGGGCAGAUUUGAGCAGAACCAAGACUACAGGUUGUUAACCUUUCACAAAUUUGAUUGUUACUAGCAACUGAGUGUUGCUACACUUCAGGAAGUUGGUGUCACUGUCUUGAAAACGAGAUCUUGUGCCAUAAAUGCAGCGCAGGACAUGUUUAUGUUCUUACCGGCACUGAAAUAUUAAAAGACUGGGGAGAUUCUGUGACUAUGACAAGGAAGAGAAUGAUUCCACGUAGAAGAUGCAAUCAGAGUUCUCCAGAGUGGUAAAUCUGAACACGCAGAGAAUCUGGAAAGCGAAAGCUGGGUUUUUCCAGGGCAAUGCAAACUGCAUGGCCCGUUCCCUCCAGACCACUUGUUUGUGGCUGCACAGACCUCUGGUUACGCCGAGUGAAACAGAAGGAGAAAAGACUGACACCAUGAACGACCGUGCGAGAGAAGCGGCUUUAUUGUCCUUGGCAGCAUCUGAAGGAGGCUUGCAAACCGAAUUUGCCAUGCAGGGCUUUCAAACAACUUAUGAGGGAAGAGAUGGGAGGAAAAUCCUUCGAAUGAGACGUGGGCUGGGACAGCGAGCGAGCUCUUCCUAUGUCUGCCUACACGGGGGAGAAGCUAGAUGGUUCCUGUAUAUGAGACUGCUUCCACCGGAAAAUACUGGCACAAACACUUGGGGUUUGUCUUGUACAUGGCAUUCCAAGAGGUGGUAAUGCAGGAUCCUAUUUUAUAUACUUUUUUUUUUUUUUUUUUUUUUUACAGAUUUUAUUUUUCCUUUUUCUCCCCAAAGCCCCCCGGUACAUAGUUGUAUAUUCUUCGUUGUGGGUCCUUCUAGUUGUGGCAUGUGGGACGCUGCCUGAGCGUGGUUUGAUGAGCAGUGCCAUGUCCGCGCCCAGGAUUCGAACCAACGAAACACUGGGCCGCCUGCAGCGGAGCGCGCGAACUUAACCACUCGGCCACGGGGCCAGCCCCCCUAUUUUAUAUACUUUUAAACUAUUAUUUUGACGUAUGAAAUAUGCAUACAGGGCCCGCCCGGUGGCAUAGUGGUUAAGUUUGCUCUCUCCACUUCAGUGGCCCAGGGUUCCCA